Molecule: ribosomal RNA, 462 nt
Filed under: Triticum aestivum (bread wheat)
Lineage: Eukaryota; Viridiplantae; Streptophyta; Magnoliopsida; Poales; Poaceae
Description: partial small subunit ribosomal RNA
Source: RNAcentral
AUGCAGAUCUUUGUGAAGACCCUCACUGGCAAGACCAUCACCCUAGAGGUUGAGAGCUCCGACACCAUAGACAACGUCAAGGCCAAGAUCCAGGACAAGGAGGGCAUUCCCCCGGACCAGCAGCGUCUCAUCUUCGCUGGCAAGCAGCUGGAGGAUGGCCGUACCCUUGCUGACUACAACAUCCAGAAGGAGUCCACCCUCCACCUUGUCCUGCGUCUGCGUGGUGGCAUGCAGAUCUUCGUGAAGACCCUCACCGGCAAGACCAUCACUCUUGAGGUUGAGAGCUCCGACACAAUCGACAAUGUCAAGGCCAAGAUCCAGGACAAGGAGGGCAUUCCCCCGGACCAGCAGCGCCUGAUCUUUGCUGGCAAGCAGCUGGAGGAUGGUCGCACCCUCGCAGACUACAACAUCCAGAAGGAGUCCACCCUCCACCUGGUACUCCGUCUUCGCGGUGGUCAGUAA